GUUUGUGGCCUCCGAACAAAACAACGUGAAUUUAAUUAUUGUGUUGUUUAUUCGUUGUGAAUUCGUUGUUUAACGUGCAAUUUUCACCGCUACAUUGGCUGGUUUUUGCACCGACUAUUAAGCCCCUAAACGGUAUUAAACACAAAUAAACACCUUCGGCAAUUGAACUCCUAAAGUUUCACAUUACAUUCAGUACCUCAUAAAAUUCGUUUCCAAACGAAAUUGAAGGUGAAAAUGUAUGAAAUAUAGACGGGGCUGCUUAAUAUGAUGAGGCAAAUAGUAAAUUUCCUGUUCUGCCUAUCAUUCUUUAUUGGUGUAAGGGGCAUUAGUGAGACCCCCCAUGAGACCUUCGGAAGGACAGGAAAUUGCGCCUCUAAUCAAUUCCAAUGUGCGUCUGGCCAAUGUAUUCCUUACACUUGGCACUGUGACACCCAUAGGGAUUGUGACGAUGGUUCGGACGAACCGGAAGGGUGCAUAAGUGACCAAACCCAGUGCAAACCGCAGCAGUUCCGAUGCGCUUUGACUAAGAAAUGUUUGCCCAACGGGUGGGUUUGUGAUGAGGAGCCCGACUGCGGGGUACACCCAGAACUAGGCCCCGACCUGUCAGACGAGGAACCGAAACACUGCAAACCGGUGCACUGCAGGUUCAACGAGGCCCCCUGUCCGGAGGCCUUCGAGUGCGCCCCCCUGGACACUUUCUGCGACGGUCACUUGGGCGAUUGUCCCGGUAACAGCGACGAGUGGGACUUUUGCCGUAACAAGUCGCUCAGUUGUGACCGCAUGCGGUGCAGUUACAAGUGCAAACCGACACCUCAAGGUCCUCAGUGCUACUGUCCCACGGGAAAACGUCCCGAGGGUACCGACUGCGUGGACGCCGACGAGUGCCAAUAUGACGAAACCUGCGCCCAAAUCUGCAAAAACGUGAUCGGGUCCUUUAAGUGCUCCUGCGUCUCCGGGUACCAGCAGAACGGUACCGAUUGCAUCGCUCAAAAUGUUCCAGAAACCGAACCGCCCUCACUAGUCUUCUCCACCCAAUCGGAGAUCAGGAGGGUCACCCUGGACGGCAAAGCGUGGCCAGGCAACUCCUCCUUACGCCUAUUAAACAAUAACGCCCUGGAGUUUAUACAUCGAAACCACACUUUGUGCUACAUCCACCACAAUUUGACCCAAGCGGGCAUCGUUUGCGCCAACAUUAACGACCUGAAUCAGCGAUGGCAGUUGCAGGUCCGAUCUCCGAUUUUGAAGGUGGAUUCGAUCCAGCAGCUCGCCUACGACUGGAUAUCGGAGAACUGGUACUUCCUGGAGGACGAGAAGGAGGCGAUCAUCUUGUGCAACAACGGGCUGAUGUGGUGCCACCUGGUGGUGGAAAACGACAUCGGGUAUCCGAGAUCGAUAGCUUUAGACCCGACCAGCGGUUUUAUGUUUUUCACCAAAUGGGGCCUGAGCGCCCCGAUGCUCGAGCGUUGCAACCUGGACGGCACCAACCGCAAGUCCAUUGUGGACGUCAAAAUCGUUUAUCCUUACGGCGUCACCGUGGACUUCCCCACCAGAACCAUCUACUGGGUGGACACUUACCUGGACUACGUCGAAAAGGUCGACUACGACGGGAAGAACCGGAAAACGGUGGCGAAAGGGGCGCACGUGCGUAACGCGUACGGAGUGUGCGUGUUCCAGAACAGGGUAUUCGUGUCUUCUUGGUACAACAACAGCCUGAUCGAGUUUAACCGGUUAGAGGCUACGGACGGCAAAGUGAUCGUGAGCAACAUCAGUAGGCCGUUUAACGUUUACGUGUUUCAUAGGCAGAGACAACCCGAAGUGGCCCACCCCUGUAAAACGGCCUCCUGCGACCACAUCUGCGUGCCCACGUGGUCCGCGACCGGCGUCGCGUUGAAAACGUGCAUCUGCGCAACCGGAUACACCUCGUUCGGCGACCGGUGCAUCAUCAAGACCCCCGACAUGUUCCUGCUACUGACCAGGAACAAACCGGACAGCAUCCGGGGCGUGGACCUGACUUCCGGCAAGGACGUGAUCGUACCGAUCUUAAACGCGGGCCGUCCGAUGUUCCUGGAAUUCGACCCUCGAAGCAAAUCGAUCAUUUACUCGAACACCCAAGAGAACAGCCUAAAUAGCGUGUUGAUCGAUUCCGUUAACUCUACGAAAACUCUCCUGGAGGGCGUGGCCACCGAUUGCCUCGCCCUAGACUGGACCACCGGCAACUUGUACUUCAAUAAUUGGCGAAAGGGGGCGCUGGGCGUCCUGAAACUGUCCGAUCCCGGCAGGUUUAAGACACUGUUCCAGACUAAUUCCACCAUGUAUAGGAAGUCGAUUGCCUUGGACCCCAUUAGAGGCCUACUAUUUUUCACCGACUGGAUCCACGAUAAAAGCAAAGGGGCGAUCUACGUGGCCUACAUGGACGGUACCGAGCAUCGAACGUUUUUGGACGAAAACGUGGUUCAUCCCGCCGGUUUGGUCGUGGAUUCAAAAAAUGCCCGAUUGUAUUGGAUGGACAAACAGGCGGACGGGGUUCUGUUGCAAAGCAUAGGAUUGGACGGGAAUAACAGGAAAACCGAAAUCGCCAAAGGCCUGGGUACGUUGAGCAACCAACUGGUAAUCGCCCCAGAUCGAACGCUGUACUUCGUGGAUCCGACCCACGGCACCGUUUUAAGCUACAAAAUCGGCGAAACCAGUGUCAAAACCGUUUUCGCAAGUAACGCCUCCAUUUGGGACAUCAAGAUCUACGAUACGACGCGCAAACAACCGGUUCCGGCCAACUGCAGCGCGUGCCCCGACUUGUGCCUGCGCACCGUCGACGGCAACCUGACCUGCGCCUGCUCGGACGGUCUGCGCGUGUCCGACGACCGAAAGAGCUGCGUGCACAUCGAGAACUACACGUCCGCGCAGCCUUUACACUGUCCCAAGGACGCGUUCCAGUGUCGUGACGAGAAACAGUGCGUCCCGAAGGAUUACGUGUGCGACGGGGCGGAUAAUUGCGCGGACAAAUCCGACGAGAGCGCCGAACCGGGGGGACCCUGUGAGAAUGUGAAAUGCGGCGAGCAUCAGGUGAAGUGCGACAAUACGUCUUGUAUAGCUCGCCAUUGGCUGUGCGACGGCGAAAAAGACUGUCUGGACGGUACCGACGAGGACCCGAGGCACUGCGCCUCGGUCUGCCUCGAGAACCAGUUCAGGUGCGAGAAUUCGCGCAGGUGCAUCCCGCUGGUGUGGAGGUGCGACCACGUGCCCGAUUGCGGACCGAACGACGACACCGACGAGCUGAAUUGUAACAUCAGCAGUUGCGCCGUCAACGAGUUCACUUGCAAGGACGGCAGCUGUAUAUCGAUGAACUUCUACUGCGACUCGAUCAAAGAUUGCAAAGACGGCUCCGACGAGGUGGAUUGCGUCCAAUGCGACCCUAAAAAGGAGAUCGUGUGUCAACCGAAGGGCGAAUGUUUGCCCAACUAUUUACGUUGUAACAACAACCUGGACUGCCCCGACGGCUCGGACGAGCGUGACUGCGAGAAAAAGUACUGCGAACCCAACGAGUUCGCAUGCGGGAACUUCGAUUGUAUCCCAAAGAUGUUCCUUUGCGAUUCCGACCUGGACUGCAUCGACGGGUCCGACGAAAUGAACUGCGACGCCUCGAAAAUCCACAAUUCGACGGAGAUCAAUAAGAAAAUCGAUUGUUUGCCCCCAAAUAGGGCCUGUGAUAACGACACCAAGUGCAUCACCCCGUCGCAGAUGUGCGAUAACAGGAGGCACUGCGCGGACGGCACCGACGAGGGCAAAAACUGCUCCGGGGACACCACUAACGCCACGACGAUCGCGCAGACCUGCGUAUACCCCAACAGGUUAUGCGACAACGACACGAAAUGCGUGGACGUGCACCGGUUGUGCGACAAACGCGCGGACUGCGCGGACGGCGCGGACGAGGGUGCGCGUUGCGCGGACCAGAUGUGCGAGCACAGCUUCAUCUGUUCGCAUUUGUGCUUUAACGCGCCGGAGGGCGUGGUCUGUGAUUGUCCGCCCGAUUUGCACUUGCAGGCCGACAGGACGCAUUGUCUGGCCACACACCCGUGCGAGGCGUGGGGCGUCUGCUCCCAAAAGUGCAUCCCGCGGGGCUCCCGCUUCAAGUGCGCAUGUCUCGAGGGCUUCGCUCUUCAAGAGGACGGAUUCACGUGCAAAAGCGCGGACGAGGGUCGUCCCUUCAUCAUCUUCUCCAACAGACACGAGUUGCGCGGGGUCGACUUGCACACUUUCAACCACAAGUCGUUCAUUUCCAGCCUAAAGAACACCAUCACCCUGGACUUCUACCACUUCAACGACACCGACAUGAUUUUCUGGACCGACAUCGUCGACGACAAAAUCUACCGCGGCACAAUCGGCGGCGGUUCCCUCGGGAACAUCGAGGUGGUGGUGAACGCGGGUUUAUCCACCGCCGAGGGAUUAGCGGUCGACUGGAUCGGGCAGAACCUCUACUGGGUCGAGAGUAACCUGGACCAAAUCGAGGUGGCCAAGUUGAACGGGAGUUUUCGCAGGACGCUGGUGGUGGGCGAGAUGGAGAGCCCGAGGGCGAUCGCGGUCGAUCCCCGGGACGGUUUCCUGUUCUGGACCGACUGGGAUAGCGCGGCCCCGAGGAUCGAACGGUGCUCGUUGGCCGGACUCGAUCGACGGGUGGUGGUCAGGGUCGAUCAGUUCGUUAAGGGCGGAUGGCCCAACGGGUUGACCCUGGAUUACACCAUGAGGAGAAUCUACUGGGCGGACGCCCGUUCCGACUCGAUCCACACCAGCGACUACAACGGAAACGACCACCACGAAGUGAUCAGCAACCAGGAAUUCUUGUCGCACCCGUUCGCCAUUUCGUUAUUCGAAAAUUACGUUUAUUGGACCGACUGGCGCACCAACAGCGUCAUGAGGGCCAACAAGUGGACCGGGGGCGACGUCAAAGUCAUCCAGCGCACCCUCACUCAACCGUUCGACAUUAAGAUAAUGCACCCCAGUAGACAACCGGCUGGUAAAAACCCGUGCGGGAACGAUAAUGGCGGCUGUUCCCAUCUUUGUUUGAUACAUUUGAAUGGGACGUACAAGUGCGAUUGUCCUCACAUUUCCAGACUUAGCGAGGACAACAAAACGUGCGUGAACAACGAGCAAGUGCUCCUAAUAGCCCGUAACGGCGAAAUCCGCGGGGUGGACAUCGCCCAGCCCUACUAUCACACCAUCCCGACCAUAAGCGUGCCACAAGUGCUAAACCCGGUGCAACUGGACUAUUUCGCCCGUAAUAAGACGCUUUAUUGGGCGGAUUCGCAGGUGGACCACAUUAAGAUGUCGAACAUCACGCACGGACCAGUUCGCACGCUGAUCGACACCGGGUUGAGGCAAGUUUCCGGGAUCGCCCUCGAUUGGAUCUCGAACCUGCUGUUUGUCAGUUCUGAGGGUGGGAUCGUUUUAUCAAACCUGAACGGCGAAUACAGCACCGUGCUGCUGGAAAACGAGAAAAUCCACUCGGUAGCUGCGCAUCCGGCGGAAGGAAAACUAUUCUGGAUCCGUGGAGUGAACGAGACAGAAGCGCACCUGGAAAGCAGCGGAAUGGACGGAUCCGACAGGAAAACGUUGGUGCCCAAUCUGGAUUUCCAUUCGGGCAGUUUACUGGUGGACGCACCCGCUCAGAAGCUCUACUGGAUCAGCAAAUCCGAAAUAAUGCACUGCAACCUGAACGGCACCGACGUAACGAAACUGCGCCUGCGCAACAAAGUCUCCGUCACCGCCUUCGUGAUUUACAAGGAUCGCCUGUUCUACGCAGACGAGGAGGACGAGUCGAUUUACUCCGUCGAUAAAACGGAAGUGGCGCCGGAAGUGACGCUCCUAAGAAACGGCACCGGGGGCGUUUUGAGUCUGAAAAUCUACGAUUCGAGCGCCCAAGUCGGCGCCCACCCCUGCCAAACCGAAAACGGACGCUGCGAGCAUCUUUGCGUGCCGAGUGGGCGCAUUUCGUACGUCUGCAAAUGCGCCAUCGGUUAUAAAGUGGACCCGGGAAACACCGACAAGUGUCUGGGGAUCGAGGAUUUUAUUUUUUAUUCGUUGAAUUGGGAGCUGCACGGGAUUCCCCUGAAUGGGUCGAAGGAUUUCAAGGUCUUAGGGCCUAUUUCCAAGAUUUCUUCUGCUCCCAGCAUAGACUUCUUGGCCGAGGAGGAUUUGCUGAUUUGGGCAAAUAUUGAGCACGGACAGAUUACGCAAAUGAGGCGGGAUGGUACCAAACGUUCCAACAUCCUGGACCAGGGAGAGAUCCUGGAAAGUCCGUCGGAGGACUGGCUCUCCUGCUUGGCGGUCGACUGGAUCGCGAGGAACGUUUACUGGUGCGACUCGAAACGUGGUACCGUCAGCGUGGCACGACUGGACGGUACCCAGGAGCACGUGAUCCUGUCCAACGACACCCUCAAACCGAGCGCGAUCGCCUUGGACCCCGCCAGGGGGCUCUUGGUGUUGGCCACCCAAAAUAAAUUGGAAAUUGCGACUUUGGACGGUCGAAACCGACGCACCCUACUGGCCAAACCGAAGAAGUUCGCCGAUAUCGCUCUGGACACGAAGAAUGAGUUGAUUUACUUCUGCGAUUUAGUGGGUUCGACCAUCGAAAGGAUUAAAUACGACGGAGGUAACCAUUCGGUGAUUAUGACUAAUACCACCCUGCAUAAACCGGUCAGCCUGACGAUAUUCGAGGACACCCUGUACUGGCUGGACGCGACCAAAGAUGGCGGCUCGAUCGCCAAAGUUCCCCUGACGAAUUUCUCGGACGUUACGGUCUUGGAGGCAGGAUUGGGAGACUCGCUCAGCGACAUCCAGAUUUAUUCACGGAAAAAACAAAGUGGAGAAAACCCGUGCGGCAAAAACAACGGAGGCUGCGAGCAGUUGUGCCUGUACAACGGCACCCACGCUCAAUGCGUCUGUUCGCACGGCAUGUUAGACACGAAAAACGGGAAAAGUUGCAUCCCGUACGACAGUUUCAUCAUGUUCUCGAAAGUGGUCAGUCUGGACUCGAUCUUCAUGUUGGGCGAGAAGAAUCUGAUGAACUCGCCGUAUCCCAGUAUCAAGAACAGCAGCUUUUUGAAGAACGCCAUCGGUCUCAGCUUCAGCUACAGACACAAGAGACUGUUCUACUCGGACAUACAGCGGGGCUCGAUAAAUGCGGUUUUCUUCAACGGGUCCGACCAUCGGAUCAUCGUGGACCAACAGGGGGCGGUCGAGGGCUUAGCCUACGAACAAGUCGGCCACGCCCUCUAUUGGACUUGUAACAACGUUGCCACGAUUAAUCGCGUUAAUUUGACGGAGUCUCUGACUAACGCCUCGCAAGUGGAGAGUAUCGUGAGGUUGAGACCUCAAGACAAACCCCGAGGUAUAGCGGUGGAUUCUUGUGGGCAGACGGUGUUUUGGACCAACUGGAACCCCCAUCAGCCGACCAUCGAGAGGGCCUUUCUUAAUGGGUACAACAGACAAGCGAUAAUCUCGACCGACAUCAGGAUGCCCAAUGGGAUCACGUUGGACCAUAAGGCGCAAAAGUUGUACUGGGGCGACGCGCGAUUGGACAAAAUCGAGCGGUGCGAGUACGACGGUACCAAGAGGGUCGUGUUGGCCAAAGUGACGCCCCAACACCCGUUCGCGCUCGCUGUUUACGGCGAUUUCAUUUAUUGGACCGAUUGGAUCUUGCACGCGGUCAUCAGGGCGGAUAAAUAUACCGGACAGUUUUUCGUCUCCUUAAGGGGGGACAUUGUCAGGCCAAUGGGUAUAGUGGCGGUGGCGAAUGAUACCGAAGACUGUUUCUCCAACCCCUGUCUAAUAAACAACGGGGGAUGCGAGGAGUACUGCGAACUAUCGGCCAAUGGGAAACCGGAAUGUGUCUGCAUGCACGGAAGAAUUUUAAGUGAGGACGGCAGGUGCUUCGCUCCGACCACUGUGGAGUGUAAUAACGCAGAAAAUAGCUUCCGGUGCUCGGACGGCGGCUGCGUCCCCUUCCACCUGACCUGCGACGGUCUGGCGCACUGCGCGGACGCCUCCGACGAGGAGGGCGGCUACUGCGGCUAUCGCACUUGUCCCCUGGGCUGGACGAAGUGCGCGAACAAACGGUGCGUGCCGUCGAACGCGACCUGCGACGGCGUCGACGACUGCGGCGACUCCACCGACGAGUUGAACUGCGCGUGCCCGGAGGACGGCUACUUCCGGUGCGCGAACGGCGAGUGCGUUCUUUUAGCGGUCCGAUGCGACAUGGACCCCGACUGUAAGGACAACUCGGACGAGUUGGGAUGCGAGAUGCCGAACUGUACCGCGUUGCAUAACGAGCAUUUUUUGAAUUGUAACUUUACCACGAAUUGCAUCAACAAGGACUGGUUCUGUGACGGGGAGGACGAUUGCUGGGAUAAUUCCGACGAAAUUGGGUGUCCAAAAAUAGCGAAGCACUGCGACGCGCCCGGCCAGUUCCAGUGUUACAACGGCCAAUGCAUCGAGGCACGAUUACGUUGUGACAAAAAAACCGAUUGCCAGGACGGUUCCGACGAGAUCCAGUGCUCCGCCCCGAUUUCCUGCCCCCCGGACAGUUUCAAGUGCAUCAGCGACGGCAACUGCGUGCCGAAGGGGUGGAAGUGCAACGGGGUGCAGGACUGUCACGACGGCAGCGACGAACUCGACUGUACCGUUCAGUGCCGAAGCGACAAGUUCCAAUGCAAAAGCGGCAAUUGCAUCCCGAAAUCGUGGCAGUGCGACGGCAACCCCGACUGUCCCGACGGCAGCGACGAAACCGAGCACUGCAGCCAUACGGAGUGUACCAAACAAGAAUAUCGUUGCAACUCGACAGGACGAUGCAUACCGAAAGUGUGGGUCUGCGAUGGCGAACGGGACUGCGACAACGGCCAGGACGAGGAUCCGUUGGUCGAGUGCAAAAAUGCGAGUUCGAUCGUCUGCACCACCCACCAGUUCCGCUGUAACAACACCCAGUGCAUUAGUAAAGCGUAUUUUUGCGAUGGGGAUAAGGAUUGUUUCGACGGAUCGGACGAACCUGACCACUGCUACCGCACCUGUUCGGCUGGAGAGUUCAGGUGCGAAAAUAAAAAGUGCAUCUUGGAAUUGCACAGGUGCGACGGCAAAGACGAUUGCGGAGACGCGAGCGACGAGGACAAAUGCCACUCGGAGGAGUACUGUCAAAGCAAAGGCUGGUUCCACUGCUUAAACGGCGUCUGCAUCAACGACACCCUCGUGUGCAACGGCGAGAAUAAUUGCGGCGACUUCUCGGACGAGUCGCGUUGUUUCAUCAACGAGUGCACCGCGGUACCGCCGGUCUGCGACCAGAUUUGCGUCGACAAACCGGUCGGGUACGAGUGCCGUUGCCACCCGGGGUACCGGGUGUCCACGAAGAAGCGACGCCACUGCGAGGACGUGGACGAAUGCCUGGACAGGCCGUGCAGUCAGAACUGCAUCAAUACGAGGGGGUCGUACCGGUGCGGGUGUAACGAGAACUACGUGUUAGACGGGGGCAGUUGUAAGGUGAAUUCUAGCGUGCAGGCACGGCUGUUGCUUGCUAACAGAUACUACAUCCGAGAGAUCGACCUAUUGGGCAACUCGAACCUGAUCGCGCACAAUUUAAGUAACGCGGUCGCCCUGGACUACGACUGGGCCACCCAAACCAUUUACUGGUCGGACGUGACCCAGUUGGGCAGCACGAUAAAACGCCUGGUCAAUUACAGGGAGGAAUCGACCUCUGACCGGUCCGAACUCCUCCAUUCCUCCACCCUCCAAAAUCCCGACGGUUUAGCAGUCGAUUGGGUGGGGAGGAAUUUGUACUGGUGCGACAAGGGAACCGACACCAUCGAGGUGUCCACUUUGGAGGGAAAACAUCGAAGGAUUUUACACUCGAAGGCCUUGGAGGAGCCGAGGGCGAUCGCUUUGGAUCCCAUCAAUAAGUUUAUGUACUGGACCGAUUGGGGGUCGAGGGUGCACAUCGGUAAGUCUGGUAUGGACGGUUCGAACCCAAAAGUGAUCGUGAACAAGAACCUGGGUUGGCCGAACGCUUUGACCAUUUCCUAUGAGACCAAUGAGAUAUUUUGGUCAGACGCUAGGGAGGACUAUAUCGCUGUAUCCGACUAUGAAGGAAACAACAUAAAAAUAAUCGCUAGCAGAGACAAGAACCCGAAAUUGCAGCUGCACCACGUAUUCGCCGUCGACGUAUGGGAGGACUUCAUCUACUGGACCGACUGGGAAACGAAGACCAUCGAGAGGUGUCACAAAUACACGGGAAUGAAUUGCACCUCGAUCAUUUCUACUGUGCAUCGGCCCAUGGACGUUCGGGUGGUGCAUCCGUUAAGACAACCGAAGGUCGAGGAUAACCCGUGCGCACACGCCAAAUGUUCCGCCCUUUGUCUGUUGUCGCCGAAGGCGCCCUAUUAUGUCUGCCAGUGUCCGGAGAAUUACGUUUUGGGUAAGGACGGUUACUCUUGUGAGGCGAACUGCACCUCCUCGCAUUUCGAGUGCAAAACGACCUACAAGUGCAUACCGUUCUGGUGGAAGUGCGACACGCAGGACGAUUGCGGAGAUGGUAGCGACGAACCGGAUGACUGUCCCGUGUUCAAGUGCCUUCCUGGGCAGUACCAGUGCGCGAACGGUCAGUGCAUCCAUCCCGGCGACUUGUGCAACGGCGUCGACAACUGUCUCGACAAUUCCGACGAGCGGGACUGCGACGGAUACACCUGCUUGAACACCCAAUUCAGAUGCGACGGAAACGCGACCGUGGCGCCCCGUUGCAUCCCGUCGGCGCAACGUUGCAACAAGAUCACGAACUGUCCCCUGGCGGAGGACGAGGCGAACUGUCCGCCGGUCACGUGUCCCCCCAAUCAGUUCAAAUGCGCGAACGACAAGUGCGUGCCCUCCGUGUGGGUGUGCGACAACGACAACGACUGCGGCGACGGUUCGGACGAGAUGCAGGAGUGUCAGGAGCGCACGUGCGGACCGAUGGACUUCCGGUGCAAUUCCGGCAGGUGUAUCCCGCUCUCGUGGAAAUGCGACGGCGACCCGGACUGUCUGGACCAGGAAGACGAGGAUCCGACCUGUAGCCAGACGGAGUUCCACACGUGCGAACCGACCUACUUCCGGUGCAAAAACAACAAAUGCAUCCCCGGCAGGUGGCGCUGCGACUACGAGAGCGACUGCGGCGACGACUCGGACGAAAUCGACUGCGUCCCUCGCAACUGUUCGGAAUCCGAGUUCAGGUGCGGAAACGGGAAGUGCAUCAGGGGCGCGAUGAAGUGCGACGGCGAGUACCAGUGCGAGGACCGCUCGGACGAGCGCGGUUGCCGCACCGAGUGCAAACAGAACGAGUUCCGGUGCGAGAACCCGGAGAUGUGCAUCUUCAAGGAGUGGAGGUGCGACGGCGAGAUCGACUGUCCCGACGGCUCGGACGAGUUCGGCUGCACCAACGCCACCUCGUGUCCGGCGAACGGGUUCCGGUGCCGGAACGGCGUCUGCGUCGCGUCCGAUUGGCAGUGCGACGGUCAGAACGACUGCGACGACGGAUCCGACGAGGUCGGAUGUUUCUCGUACGCGUGUCCGCCCGGCAGGUUUAAAUGCAAAAACUAUCGGUGCACCCCGAUUAGUACCUUGUGCGACGGGGUGAGUCAGUGUGGAGACGGCAGCGACGAGGACAGACACAUUUGCAAAAGGUACGGAAAGUGCCCGUACGGUCAAUUCACUUGCAAGAACAAUCGGUGCAUAGCGAACGAGUCCCGUUGCAAUUCAAUGAACGAUUGCGGAGACGACAGCGACGAGUUGGACUGCGAUUCGUCCGCAUGCAAGUGGAACACCUGCUCGCAGAUCUGUAUUGAGUCAAGAGUGAAUCACACCCACUGCAAAUGCGUCGACGGAUACCGACUUACGGGUCGAAACGGGCAGUGCCAGGCGGAAGGGAAAAUGGCCGAACUGAUUUUGGCCACAGAGGCGGAACUGAGGCUGAUUUCGCCCUAUAAAAUGGGCGAUAUUAAUAAGAGUAAGAAAACCCAACCGAUCGCACCAGGAUAUAAGAUCGAUUCGGUGGACGUCCUGUACAGCAAGAAACAAGUGGAGGCCUACUGGACCGACUAUCAAAACAAACGCAUCCAGGCGAUGACCGUGCAACUGAACGAAGAGAAACGGACCAACAGGGACGCCGAAAUCGCCAGGACCGUACUGGGGAACCUGCGUGGUCCCAGGGGAAUCGCCCUGGAUUGGGUCGCGGGGCGGAUCUACGUGACCGACACGUCCAGGAUUUUGGUGGCCGACAUCGAGGGAAAAUUCAAUUUCACCCUUUCGAGCGGGAACAUGCAGAACCCGCGGGAUGUGGUGGUCGACCCGGAGGCGGGGUACGUCUUUUGGGCCGAUUGGGGACCGGUGCCGAGGAUCGAGAGGGCCAACAUGGACGGGCUGAACCGGAAAACGCUGGUGCAAAACCUCCUGUGGCCGACCAGUUUGACGAUCGAUUACCCGACGAAACGGCUCUACUGGUGCGACCCGAAGGCCUCCACGAUCGAAUCGAUCAACUUCGACGGUUCCGGUCGCAAUUUGAUCAAACACUUCGACAACUCGACCGACAUACGCCCCUACAAGAUCGAACUGUUCGAGGACAACCUGUACGUCACCACUUACCGCAAACACGACGUCGUCCGCCUAAAUAAAUUCGGCACAGGCGAGACGACUUACCUCGCGCACGGACUUACGCGCAUCUCCGACUUACUGAUAGUCCAGGAGCACAAGCGGCCAAAAGUGAAGAACUUGUGCAAGGAUUUCUGCAGUAACAACGAGUUUUGUCUGUUGACGCCUAAAAGUCCGCGGUGCGUCUGCGCCGACGGGUUUGUCAACGAUAAUUUGACGUGUAGGGCGGUGGCGCCGCCUAGUGUCGUCUGUCCGCUCGAUUGUAACGUCGGCAAGUGUAAAGUGGAGGGGGAUAAGGGGCCGUACUGCGCGUGUCCGCCUCUGUAUAGCGGCGACCGGUGUCAGACGUAUCGGUGCUCGCAGCAUUGCAAAAACGGGGGGAUUUGCGUGUUGGACAAGUGGAAUGCUACGGCUGACGAUGCUGAUGAGAAGCCGCCGUUGAAGUGCAUCUGCCACCCGCACUGGUACGGCAAACGGUGCGAGAAGCGGUUGCCGCUCUGCAAGGACUUCUGCGAGAACGGCGGCAGUUGCACGCUGUUCGUCGGUCUGCCGCACUGCACCUGCCGCGACGGGUUCACCGGGUACCGGUGCCAGCACUGCACCAACUUCGAUUGCGGCAACGGCGGCAAGUGUUCGGUCGAAAACGGCCUGCAGACCUGCACAUGCUCCCAAGGCUACAGCGGCGCCCACUGCGAAACCUCCGUGUGCGGCCCGCACGGGCAGGUGCUCGCCUUCUCGCGGAACGCGAUCAAGUGCGACUGCCACGCGGGAUUCACCGGCGACCGCUGCCAGACCGACCGCUGCGCCAACUUGUGCCGCAACGGCGCCACCUGCGUCCCCUCCACCCUGCGCUGCGUCUGCGCGCCCGGCUUCACGGGCGCGCGCUGCGAUCAGCCGUUGUGCGCGCGCUGUUGCCAGAACGGCGGCGCGCAGGUGGCGGUGCGCAGCGGCCGCGUGUGCAACUGCACCGCCCGUUGGGGCGGCGAGUUCUGCGAGGUUUAUUUGGGGAACGACAGUCCGUGCGGGGGCGGCUACUGUCGAAACGGCGGCGUGUGUCAAGUGUUGGCGGUCGGUGACGUGCCGAGUUGCCGCUGCGUCGAAGGGUGGGGCGGCGAGAGGUGCGAUCGCAAGGGGGGGCUGUGCGAGGCGGUUUAUUGUCUGAACGGGGGCAGUUGUGAGGUGGUCGGGGGUCGGGCGAGGUGUAGAUGCCCCGACGGGUUCGAGGGGGAGGCUUGCGCGGAGGAGGCGGUUAAGGAGGAGGCUGGAGGCGGCACGGGCGGGAGCUCGGUGGAGGUGUCGGUCGCCGUCGUUUUAACCGUGGCCGCCCUUUUGUUGAUCGUCUGCAUCUGCUGGAACAAGGGGAGGUACGAGGUGUUGCAUCAGAGACUGGAGGAGAACGACUUUAACAAUCCGACGUACCAAGAGAGGGACGCGGAGCCCUUCAGUUUGGAGCGGGUGGACGAGGGGGCGGAUCACGGGGUGAACUUCGGCAACCCCGUGUACGAGUCGGUGUACAACGGGGGCGGCGGGAGCGGCAUCAGGGAGGAGAAGGCGAAUCUGUUGGAGCACAGCGUGGAGGAGCCGCCCCCGCCCCCGGAGGGGCUCUAGACAAACACAAAUCAAAACUCCUAAAGAUCCUACGGAAACUGCACCGUUUAUCUUCGCACGAGGAAAGAAUGAAACUCGAUUAUCGAACAAUUGCGGCAAAAAAACGAAAAGUCAUGAAGGGUCAGUGCGGCGGUACCACAGGAACCCAACGAUAAACUAGAACACCGAGUGUCCACCGAACUGGGUCGAAUUUUGGACGAUCUAAAUGCCAUUUUGAACGGCAAAUUUAAGGUCACUAGAAGGUCGACACAAGGUGAGAGGUUCGAAGAAAAAUUGG
RNAcentral lists this unclassified non-coding RNA (14536 nucleotides) under Anthonomus grandis grandis. Its description in RNAcentral is "prolow-density lipoprotein receptor-related protein 1". Lineage: Eukaryota; Metazoa; Arthropoda; Insecta; Coleoptera; Curculionidae. The record is from RNAcentral.